RNAcentral lists this ribosomal RNA (301 nucleotides) under uncultured bacterium. RNAcentral describes it as "partial 16S ribosomal RNA". It matches the Rfam family "Bacterial small subunit ribosomal RNA", at positions 509 to 807 of the family's 1533-position model. The record is from RNAcentral.
CAGCCGCCGCGGGAAAACAGAGGGUGCGAGCGUUAAUCGGAUUUACUGGGCGUAAAGCGUGCGUAGGCGGCUAAUUGAGUCGGAUGUGAAAUCCCCGAGCUUAACUUGGGAAUUGCAUUCGAUACUGGUUAGCUAGAGUGUGGGAGAGGAUGGUAGAAUUCCAGGUGUAGCGGUGAAAUGCGUAGAGAUCUGGAGGAAUACCGAUGGCGAAGGCAGCCAUCUGGCCUAACACUGACGCUGAGGUACGAAAGCAUGGGGAGCAAACAGGAUUAGAUACCCGAGUAGUCCCUGUCUCUUAUAC